RNAcentral lists this non-coding RNA (23 nucleotides) under Cricetulus griseus (Chinese hamster). The record is from RNAcentral. Lineage: Eukaryota; Metazoa; Chordata; Mammalia; Rodentia; Cricetidae.
UACUGUUCAGGCACGAGCUCAAA